RNAcentral lists this long non-coding RNA (516 nucleotides) under Setaria italica (foxtail millet). RNAcentral's name for it is "long non-coding RNA (SITA_LNC002027)". Lineage: Eukaryota; Viridiplantae; Streptophyta; Magnoliopsida; Poales; Poaceae. The record is from RNAcentral.
GCUUGUUAUAAAUCAUGCAACAUCGUCAAAGGUCAAUUGCUGCAACAUGUCAGGUAUGCAGAUCCAAUUGACCCUACAUGUGAAGGUGCUUAUAUAUACCCACCACGGAGAAGCUCACUACCAUUGAGGCCGCUCCCACUGUGUAGGAGUUUGCUACCAGGAGGCUACCCACAUCGUAGAGGGUCUGAGUUGGAACUUGAAAUAAUUUGAUCGGUUCUUUGUCAUUUGGUCAACAUCCAUUAGAGCUUCUCCCCCCAUUUUCUCUUGACCUCAAACUCCCAUUGCACCCCAUCCGCAGGAAUCAUUGUGCCAACGACGCCACUCAACAUCUCUGUUUCCCCUCUCAUCCUUCCACAUUCUUCUCUCAACAAAAUGGCAUGGGAGGAGGCUUUACAAUACAACUUCAAGUGUUUGAUAUUGCCACAUGAAGAAGCUAGCAAUUUAUUUAGUUGCAUGUAGUGAGCAUGAACUUAGUUCUUCACCAAACAAUCUUCCAAUUAUCUAUCUUGUUCCAAG